This is a non-coding RNA of Coturnix japonica (Japanese quail), 1331 nucleotides long. NCBI's taxonomy places the organism in Eukaryota, Metazoa, Chordata, Aves, Galliformes, Phasianidae. The record is from RefSeq and is a predicted model, not a curated record.
CACCCAGGACUCUACUCUAGGCCUAGCAGAAUCUGGGCCUACGUGUGGCUUUCAAAACACUAUGUGAUCCCCUGCAAGGCUUUGCAGGCUCCUUAUCUAGAAGCCUGGCACAAUGUGGAAAGGAAGCCUUUCUUCUGUUUCUUUAUAGAUCUGCCUGUACACUGUAUAUCUGGGCUGCACAGCUUUGAUCAGCCUCAAGGCUACCCCAGGGAGAUACAAUGCCAAGUGAAGCUAACAUGGAAAAUGAAGACCCAGCUCCAGCAGAAAAAGGACAGAGUGUAGCUCGAAUUACCAUAGAAAUUCAAGAUGUUUCUGGGAAUUCACAGUCACAUCUGAAAGGUUUUCUCCGAUAUAUAUUCUCACCAAUCGCUGCCUUAUUCAGACAGUCCCCACAGCGAUUCUCUAACCUAAUGUUCGCAAGCAGUCAGGAAUCGGUGAUGCAAGCAAAAAGGCACUAAUGUCAGGAAAAGAGGAGAAAAAUAUGUGCUGCUGUGGAAAAGCAGGGAAAUUGGAUGAAUCGUAGAACUCCUGGUGGACCAAGAAUAUAAAGAUCUGCACCUCUGGGGAGCCGUGUGCCACUGAAGAGAGCACACAGUGUCCAUGAGAGAAAUAUUAGACAAAUGGGAGUGUUUCCUUACCAUGAUGCAAGCUCGCCAAUGCAGAGCAAUAGGGAACAUACAUAAGGAAUGUUCUUAUAUCAGUAUGUCACUUUGUCUCUACCUCCUGGAGACAAUGUGGGAAGGACUGGAGCAUUUAGGAAACUCUUGUUCUCCCUUAGCAACUUUGCCAGUUCCAGCAGUCCAUUUCAUGAUGUCCAUACUUGUGGAUAACCAUGAACUGCUAAGAUAACAACAGCGAUACGAAGAAGCACCUCACCGGGUGCCCAAUGAUGUUAUGGUUUAUACAUGGGAGGACUCUGGGAGUAGUAAGGGUUGUGCGUGGGGCUGCGUAGCAUGUGUACAGGGCACGCGUGCGUGGAAGCGAUACUAGUAUAUAAGCCAUAUGAUGCAGCAAUAAAUUGAGAGAAGACCUAAUGACAUCCAUGACUAUGUUCUCUCCCCUGGACUGUUGAUGUUCCGGGAUGAUUGGGCUAUUUGACAGCUGUGUCACUUUCCUAGAGAGACAAUAAAGCCUGACUGAUGUGUAGUUUCUCAAGUCUUUCUUUUUGCUCUUUUUUAGAUGAACAUAUUAUUAAUCCCCUCCUACUUGUCUGUUACUCUGUGACCUGCGCAAUCUUUCAGAUGAUAGCAAGAGGUGUUGCAAUGAUGUCAGCCAAUUUUUAUCUCUCUCAAUUGCAUUACGUUAUAUGCAUUAAAUAAUGCAUUCUGCCA